This is an RNA transcript of Mytilus trossulus (common blue mussel), 4172 nucleotides long. It is a transcript of the gene named luc7-like protein 3, with no coding region annotated. NCBI's taxonomy places the organism in Eukaryota, Metazoa, Mollusca, Bivalvia, Mytilida, Mytilidae. The record is from RefSeq and is a predicted model, not a curated record. The transcript is spliced from 11 exons.
CAGGGUUGUAGCCGUACCCAAUUUGUGGUUUGCUAUCGCCUACAUUGAGCAUCAUGGCUGCGAACGUUCUCGCCUCGAUGCUCGACGAAUUAAUGGGAAGGGAUAGAAAUCUGGCCCCUUCAGAUAGAAAAAAUGAUAUACGAUGGGAUGAUGCAGAAGUAUGUAAAUAUUAUCUGUGUGGUUUUUGUCCACAUGAACUGUUUGUUAACACGAGAGCUGAUUUAGGUCCAUGUGAAAAACUUCAUGAUGAUCAUCUCAAGAAAGAAUAUACAAAAAGUUCCAAAUUUGGAAAAGUUGGUUUUGAAGAAGAUUUUCAUCGUUAUUUACAAAGUUUGGUGUCAGAUUGUGAAAGAAGAAUAAAAAGAGGACAUCAGCGUCUGGCUCUGAGUAACCAACAGGGCAGUUUGAGCAACAAUAUGAAUAUGAUGAAAGAUGAGAAAAUAAAUAUAUUGACAGAAAAAAUCAAUGAUUUAGUUCAGCAGGCAGAAGAACUAGGUUGUGAGGGUAAGGUUGAGGAGGCCCAAGGAGUGAUGAAACUUUGUGAACAACUUAGAGAUGAGAGAAGACAACUAGAGGAGAGUAAGUUAGCCAAUGCAUCAAAUGAACCAGAGAAGACAAUGGAAGUUUGUACAGUAUGUGGUGCAUUGUUAGUGGUAGGAGAUGUACAACAGAGAAUAGAUGAACAUUUAAUGGGGAAACAGCAUGCUGGUUAUGCUAGAAUCAGGUCUUAUGUGGAGGAUUGGAAAAAGAAAAAAGUAAUGGAAGAUGAAGAAAGAGAGUCUAGAUUGGCAAAGGAAAGGGAAGAGAGAGAAAAAGAGCGAGAAAAGGAAAGAGAAGACCGUAAGAAACGAGAUCAAGAAAGGGAAAAAGAAAAAGAAAAGGAAAGAGAAAAAAUAAAAGAGAAAGAAAAAGAAAGACAAAGGGAUAAAGAUAGGGACAGAGAUAGAAAGAAGAGAUCAGAAAGUAAAGAUAGACACAGGCGUAGAAAAAGUAGAAGCAGGAGUCGACAUAGACACAAAUCUAGAAGCCGAUCACGUGACCGAUCUCAUCACCACCGUCGUCGAAGGACUAGGUCACGUUCAAGGGACAAGGACUCAUCAAGGAGAAGAGACCGAGAUAGGAGAAGUAGAGAUGUAAGAAGUCGAGACAAAAGUAGGGAUAAAGAUAGAAGAAGUCGGGAUAGAAGUCGUGACAAGAGAAGUAGAGACAGAAGCAGGGAUAAAGAUAGAAAAGACAGAGACAGAAGGAGUAGGGAUCAUAGAAGUAGAGACAAUGAUCAUAAGAGUAGGGAAAGAAGUAGGGACAAGGAUCAUAAAAGUAGAGAUAGGAGUAGGGACAAGGAUCAUAAAAGUAGAGAAAGAAGUAGAGACAAAGAUCGUAAAAGUAGAGAAAGAAGUAGAGAUAAAGAUCGUAAGAGUAGAGAAAAAAGCAGUGAAAAGGAUCGUAAAAGCAGGGAGAGAAGUAGUGAAAAAGACCAAGAGAAUGGAGAAAAAGAAAAGAGCAUAGAGAAAGAAGACAAACCUGACUCAGUAGAAGAGCCAGAGAUAAAGAAAAGUGAAGAAGGAUCAGAAGUAAAGCCACUAGAAAACAAGGAAAAUCCUGAGAACAUUGAAGAACCCAUGCAAUGAGGAAAGGUGACAUAAAAUAUGAUCCAAAAUGAGGUAAGUGAAGUGUUUUCCAAGGGAGAUAACUCCAGAUUUACAAGGUGAGUGGAUCACUGGGGGGGUCUGUUUAUUAAAAGGAAAUGUGGUCCUUCUAUUAUAAGGUUAACAAUCAGAUACAGCCUCAGAAAUACAGGAUAGAUUUAUAAGAUUAAGUGGCAUCUCUGUCUGGUUUUAAGGACCAACAGAGAAAUAAUUGUUUUAAAAAAUAGCAAAAAAGAACCAAAGCCGUUUUAAUUUUGAAGCAUAUAAACCAAUACCUUUCUCCACAUGUGUCCCAACCUUAACAGUUAAGAGGAGAAAAUUUUAUAAAAUGUUGAAAAAUCAUCUGAAUGUUAACCAACUUGCCUUUGUGUUAAUAACAUUUAAAUUCCUAAUAUGCCUACCUGAUACUCUGAUAUUGGCAGCAAUGGCGAGGUUAGUUCAAUCUUUUAUCGGUUAAUUACACCUUCAGUAAAGAUAAAGAAAACAAAGGUAUGUUUCUCAGAAAUUUUGAUUGUUUGGAGGUAAGUGACACCAUUCUUUUCAAGUAGGAAUUUGUCCAUUUUGGGAAACCAACUCCCUUUGGGUCAGACAACAGAUUUGAUGCUGAAAGUAGAGGUAAGACUGAAAUCAAAACAGAAGAUGUUGGGUGUGUGACUUUGCUCACUAGAGGUGAGUGGCAACUUUUGUUGUUACUAUGACGAACUCAACAUAAAAUAAAUAUUGAGCGUUUAUUUGAUUUCAGUAGAGUGUGUACCAUUUUGAACAGUGUAUAUUGAAUGUUAACAUCAUAAAAAUAAUGUUUAUUUACGAGGUAAGAUUUAAUUUCUCAGAGUGUAAAUGGUGCAGUUAAUGUUUACAAUGUUCAUGUUCUUGUUUACAAAAAAAAGGAUAUUUAAAAAGAUAUGGAGAAAAAAUAACAAAACAUACAUUUUACAGUUAUUUAAACAAUAGAUGAGGCUUGGAACAUCUUAUAAUUUAUUUAAGAAAACAUUAUUUGUUGAGUUUAUAAUACAUGAAUCUUUAUUGUGGUAAAGGUACAUGGGGUUAGUGCUUUCAACCUGGCAAUUGAUAUAUUUCCAAUUUUAUAGCCUCCUCUAUUGCUUUAAGAUUGUUGGAUAAAAAGCCAUGACUUAUAACAGGCAAAUGAUAACCAAAAAUCGGUAUUGUAUGCUUGUUGUGUUUAUUUACAGUACUUCUUUCAACUUUUCUUAAAUCUAUCUUCCUCUAGACUUCAGAUGAUAUGUAGUCCUACUAUGGUACAAUAUGUUGUCAUUCAAAAUUAUGGCAGUCUAGCUCUCAAAAUUUUUCAUUUGAUACACAAACAGACAUUACUUAUAAACAAGAUUUUUAAGUUCACACACAAGUUACACAUGUUUCAAAAAGCCAAACUACACCUUUUUUAUAUAUUUAAAUUUAUUGAAAGCAAGAUUGAUAAAAUCCAGCUAAAGCUUUUAUGAUGACCUAAAACUAAAACUAAAAGAAAACUUAAUAUGAAUUUUUAUUUCUCAAGAGAGUUAGCUUGCCUUUGUAAGGGAAGAGUGCUGCUUCAAGGCUAGAUAUCUUCUGAAGAGAAAAAUUACCAAUUUUUUUGAAUUUUCAUUUUACACAAAUUUUAAAUGCAUUUAAGAAAUCUCAUAAGGAAUAAGGGAAUAUUAUUUAAGAAUUCAAUAUACUGAUAUACUUAUCAUUGGCUUGAAACAUUAAAAAAACAGUAAAUGGAGAACUGCCGGUAGUAACUUUUGCAUUUAAGUAACACAAAAUUUGAAGGUAUAAGAUAUAAGAUUUUUUUUGUCAUUUGUAAAAUGUGUUUUGUUUGCUGUUUAUUGUAACAAUUCUUAGAUAAGUUUUUCAAAUUUCAAAUAUGGAAACAAUGUAGGAAACGUACUAGUAAAUCUGAGUUCCAUUGUGAAAUUGUUGAAGAUAAAAUAUUAAUUUUGUGAUAAUGAUGACAAUAUAGGAAGGAACUUCUCAAAUUAGAUCAUUAUGGAAUACACGAAACAGAGAUUUACUCUUAGAAUUGAGAUCUGUAAUAAGAACAUUUUAAAUAAGGUUUAGAAAUAUGAUAGGAGCAGAUGCUAUCAUAUAUCAUUCUGUAUUCUUAUUGAAUAAUUAGUUGGUGUUGAAUAGAAAAAUUUAUAGGAUAAAAUCAUGAAUGAAAUGAGAAAGCAGACACAAAUACUCAAAAGCAUGUUAGAGAGAAGUGUGUGAUUUUAAUAUGAACUGUUUACUUCAUGUUAUGUGAAUGGUUUUCUUUAUCCCACUGAAUGAUUGAACAAGCUUUCUAGAAAGCAGAACUGGACAGGAGAAAAGGCGUCAACCAUUAUGGAUGAUAAAGGGAACAUUGUAAUAGAGUGAGGAAGCCAUUGCAGGAUGAGUGUGAAUUGCCAUUGUACAUACAGAUACAUUUCCAUUUUCUACUGACCAUUGCGACAGAGAAAUCUGCUGUUGAACAUUAAUCUGUUAUUGAGUCAUUUCAUAUACUUGUUGAUCCAAUUGCUUGAACAAUAAAAUUGUAUAAAGUUUUAA